This 427-nucleotide ribosomal RNA is filed under the name uncultured bacterium. RNAcentral's name for it is "bacterial SSU rRNA". It matches the Rfam family "Bacterial small subunit ribosomal RNA", at positions 29 to 490 of the family's 1533-position model. The record is from RNAcentral.
AACGAACGCUGGCGGUAUGCUUUACACAUGCAAGUCGAACGAACUUAGGCUCAGCUUGCUGAGAACGGUUAGUGGCAAAACGGGUGAGUAACGCGUGGGAACCUACCUUGUAGUACGGAAUAGCCAUUGGAAACGAUGAUUAAUACCGUAUACGCUCUACGGAGGAAAGAUUUAUCGCUAUAAGAUGGGCCCGCGUUGGAUUAGUUGUGGUGGGUAAUGGCCUACCAAGACUACGAUCUAUAACUGGUUUGAGAGGAUGAUCAGUCACACUGGAACUGAGACACGGUCCAGACUCCUACGGGAGGCAGCAGUGGGGAAUAUUGGACAAUGGGCAAAGCCUGAUCCAGCAAUACCGCGUGAGUGAUGAAGGCCCUAGGGUUGUAAAGCUCUUUCAAUAGGAAGAUAAUGACGGUACCUAUAGAAGAAG